Molecule: ribosomal RNA, 251 nt
Filed under: Chlamydia suis
Lineage: Bacteria; Pseudomonadati; Chlamydiota; Chlamydiia; Chlamydiales; Chlamydiaceae
Description: partial 16S ribosomal RNA
Rfam family: Bacterial small subunit ribosomal RNA
Source: RNAcentral
UUUUACUGUUUGUGGCGGAAGGGUUAGUAAUGCAUAGAUAAUUUGUCUUUAACUUGGGAAUAACGGUUGGAAACGGCCGCUAAUACCGAAUGUGGCACCAUUUAGGCAUCUAGGUGGUGUUAAAGAAGGGGAUCUUCGGACCUUUCGGUUAAAGGGGAGUCUAUGUGAUAUCAGCUAGUUGGUGGGGUAAAGGCCUACCAAGGCUAUGACGUCUAGGCGGAUUGAGAGAUUGACCGCCAACACUGGGACUG